Cyprinus carpio carpio is the source of this 1162-nucleotide long non-coding RNA. The record is from Ensembl. Lineage: Eukaryota; Metazoa; Chordata; Actinopteri; Cypriniformes; Cyprinidae.
CUAAUAAAGCCUUAUUCAUAUUGAAAAGAGAAGUAUCUUGUGUUUUGUGCUCACAAGUUAAUGUCUUAAACUGCCGAUCUUGUUACUGUGCUAAUUAAAAGUGUUUUCACUAUACCUUGGGAUAUUAAUAUCCAGCGCAGAUUUGAUGUUAAACGGCUCGUUCAGUGAAUCGCUGGCCGUUUCAGUGAUCAGUCGUGAAACAGUGAUUGUGUUCAAAUUCCCUUUAAAAUCUUAAAUGAUUCGCUUUGAGCUAAAUUGACCUGUUUCCCUUACAUUACCCUCAGGCCAUCCAAGACAUAGAUGAGUUUGUUUCUUCAUCCGAACAGAUUUGGAGAAAUUUAGCAUCACAUCACUUGCUCACCAGUGGAUCCUUUGCGGUGAAUGGGUGCCGUCAGAAUGAGAGUUCAAAUCCACAUGAUUACAUAAAUGUCUUGUGAAGUGAAAAGCUGCAUGUUUGUAAUCAUUAAGACAUUUUAAGUUUAAAUCACUGCUUCUGGCCAAAAUACAAGUCCAUAAUCCAUAAUGCUUCCACCUGUGAAAAAGUCCCCGUUGUCCUCUCACAUCAAAUUCUACAGACAUAUUUGUUUAGAACCAUUUUGGACUAUUUUGCUUGAAAGUUGAAACCAAUCCUUAAUCUGUGUACAUUUCUCUCCUGAUAAAAAAAAAAAAAAAAAUACUUUUCCAUUUGAGACUUUUACCAUAUGUUUUACAGAAGCAACAAUAAUAUAAAAACAUCUUGAUGGAUUUGUUUAUUACAAACACGCAGCUUUUUGCUUCACAAGACGUUAAUUGAUGGACUAGUCUGUCAGUUACUUGUGGAUUGUGAGUAAGCAGUUGAGCAGCAGAAGAGGACAGCUGUCUUAUCGACUACAGCUAAAGUUCAGCUUCAUUUGGAGGGACUUAAAGUUAGUUCUCAGGUUGUUGAGGACAUCAAAGCCCAAGGUAAUCCAUCACUAAAACACUUGUUCGCUGAAUUCAUGAUUCCGAUUUUCAAAGACCUCGGGGAACUCCAUACUUUAAACAGUGAGUGUCUUCAUAGGAAUGUGCACACAUACAAAGAGUAAGUGUAAUUGUGCAAGCUAGUGAAAUGAAUGUCAAUUACACCAUGGUCAAACACUUUAGUAUAAUAACUGCUAAACUGUAGUUUAUACCUGUAAAUUAC